AGAUAUGAGGGAGAUCUCGCUGCGGUAUCUGUCACCCCAUUGAUCACCGGGGUUGAUUCAGCUGAUCUGGCUGGCUAGGCGGGUGUCCCUUCUCAUCACUGCUCCCUCAGCAUCCCUCCUGACACGUGCUCUAUAGAAGAGAGGGACCUUUCCCAAUAGGGAAGGACUUUUCUUCAGUCAAGAGUACAGGAGUAGCUGCAUUCCCCUGCUAAAACCUCCAAAUGAGCUGUCCAGGUCCAUUUGUAGAAAGUAAUGUAGUCAAGCUCCAGAUAUCCAAAUGAGGCACUACAUGUGGCAGUUUGCCCUUCUUA
Vulpes vulpes (red fox) is the source of this 311-nucleotide unclassified non-coding RNA. Its record names the gene 7SK. It matches the Rfam family "7SK RNA". From Rfam's summary of the family: 7SK was discovered as an abundant small nuclear RNA in the mid-70s but a possible function has only recently been suggested. Two independent studies have found that 7SK RNA binds the CDK9/cyclin T complex (known as elongation factor P-TEFb). P-TEFb activates transcription by phosphorylating the C-terminal domain of RNA polymerase II. The record is from Ensembl. NCBI's taxonomy places the organism in Eukaryota, Metazoa, Chordata, Mammalia, Carnivora, Canidae.